AAGCUUUCCUUGAAUGGACAUUGUCGUCAUAAAAGAGAAAAACUCUGCGGCAUUGAUCACUUCUCUUGCCCAGCUUGCACCCCAGAUACAGUUGCUGUGUCUGCAGACGGAAACAGAAAACUAUACAGAUUCAGCAAAACAAAGGGGGCAGAGGAACAACCAUUUUUUGAUGGAGUUUUUCUUGCUAAUGACAAAGAUGUAGCAACAUUUGUUGAUUGUGUUCGUGAGAAGACCAUUCCAGUACAUGGAAAAGGCAUCUGUGGAACAU
Carassius carassius (crucian carp) is the source of this 268-nucleotide long non-coding RNA. RefSeq lists it as uncharacterized. The transcript has 3 exons. The record is from RefSeq and is a predicted model, not a curated record. Lineage: Eukaryota; Metazoa; Chordata; Actinopteri; Cypriniformes; Cyprinidae.